GCCCCAAUGGCGCAGUUGGUGCAGCGCCUGGUGGCUUUUCCGAGUUUGGCUAACUCGAGAGGUCGUCGGUUCGAAUCCGGCUUGGGUCG
Molecule: transfer RNA, 89 nt
Filed under: Thielaviopsis punctulata
Lineage: Eukaryota; Fungi; Ascomycota; Sordariomycetes; Microascales; Ceratocystidaceae
Description: Ceratocystis radicicola tRNA
Rfam family: tRNA
About the family: Transfer RNA (tRNA) molecules are approximately 80 nucleotides in length.
Source: Rfam by way of RNAcentral